UCGCUCACUCUACAGUACUGAUUCUAAAUAUCUCUACUGGUGAUUAUGUCUACGAUUAAAUUACAUUAUCAUACGUUACACUGUCGAUUAAUUUAACAGUGAUUGGAAUUUUUCAUAUAAAACCGUGUGAAGGCUGUCAACCUUUGACUGGGGCCAGUCCACAACCAGUUCCUUGCAGUGGUAAAACGCCUGUAAACUGAUUAUCAGGUCUAUAGCCUCAGAAAUACAUGAUCUACAGCCUUGAUGUGGAUCAUUUUGGUGUUAUUUCUGGACAGUGGGAGGAAGUGUUGAAGCAUCAUCUUCAUCAUCAUCAUCAUCAUCAUCAUCAUCAUCCUCAUCAUCUAGGGGGAAUGUUGGAGAGAAAGAGGCU
Pleuronectes platessa (European plaice) is the source of this 370-nucleotide long non-coding RNA. RefSeq lists it as uncharacterized. Lineage: Eukaryota; Metazoa; Chordata; Actinopteri; Pleuronectiformes; Pleuronectidae. The transcript is spliced from 3 exons. The record is from RefSeq and is a predicted model, not a curated record.